Molecule: long non-coding RNA, 296 nt
Filed under: Gallus gallus (chicken)
Lineage: Eukaryota; Metazoa; Chordata; Aves; Galliformes; Phasianidae
Source: RNAcentral
UGGGUUGGCUUUAUGUAGUUGGAAGGCAGUUUUCUCUGCUUGAAAUCAGAGAUUUCUCAGAGGAGGAAAAACAAACAAGCAAACAACAAAAAAAGUUUACAGCUUUUUCUUUUUUUUUUAAAAGUUUGAGACAUUAUUCACAUUUAUACUCACAGUUCCAUACAGCUUCCCCUUGUUGUUCAUUCCAACGAAGAGAGCACUUUCCACACCAAACAGGCUUACAACACCUCUUUCUACAGUAGAUAUUUCAAAGAGGCCUAAAAAAUAAGUUGCAGAACAGCAGCCAUAAGAACAAG